UACAGAGGGUGCAAGCGUUGUUCGGAAUUAUUGGGCGUAAAGCGCGUGUAGGCGGCUUUGCAAGUCGGAUGUGAAAGCCCUCGGCUCAACCGAGGAAGUGCGUUCGAAACUGCAGAGCUUGAGUGCCGGAGAGGGUGGCGGAAUUCCCCAAGUAGAGGUGAAAUUCGUAGAUAUGGGGAGGAACACCAGUGGCGAAGGCGGCUCACUGGACAGUAACUGACGCUGAUGCGCGAAAGCUAGGGGAGCAAACAGG
RNAcentral lists this ribosomal RNA (253 nucleotides) under uncultured bacterium. Its description in RNAcentral is "partial 16S ribosomal RNA". It matches the Rfam family "Bacterial small subunit ribosomal RNA", at positions 524 to 776 of the family's 1533-position model. The record is from RNAcentral.